UUUUUUUGAGAACAUUCCUUUAAAUAAAUACUAAAGACAGUCAGGUAUACAAAUUUAAACUUCUAUAAGUACACAUUCAAAAGAUGUCAUUUUCGCAUGGCUUAUAUACAUUAACCAAAAUAUUCUUCGGCCACUGGUCUAUUCUAUACAUGCCAUAAAAUAAUUCAAAACAUAACAGUAACAAGCAGUGGAUAGUGAUAGUGUGACUAGUUGCUGACGAUCCCCGAGUCUGUAGCUUCCAAAUGAGAUCUAUAAAAUAGAGGAAACAAAGUAAACGGAGUAAGCAUUACAAUGCUUAGUAAGUUUUAAGCAGUGUCAACAGAUAACAAUCAAAUUAUAACAUAGUUGUUCGUAUUUUUAUUUCACUCUUCCUUCGGGCAUACCAUCCCUUUACCGAAUAUGCACAUCUCAUCAUAUACAAUAGGCAGAUAAACUUUCACAUAAAAGUGAGCUCAUGUGACAUAGAUAUAUUGUAUAAUUUCACAUAACCUCUCACACUGAUCCAAUGUCACAUAAUCAUAGGAAUAGUCUCAUAGAUUGCUCACGUAUGCAUCACAUAACUACCUUAUGAUUUAGUUCAAAUCAAGCUCACAUAUAAACUUGGAGUACAUACCUGUUUAACCUUUCGUAUUGAAUUUAUUUAUAAGUAAUUCUUAUUGCGAAGUCUUAUAGCUUUAAACUCUACUCGGAUUAUCAGCGAGACCUUUAGCUCAGAUGAAAUCUCCACACGAGUCAGCGGGUCUUAACCCAGACAUAGUCACCACAUAUGGUCAUCUAGUCUUUAAUCCCGGGUUUACAUCAUAGAGUUUCAUGCAUAUUUAUUCACAUGUUACAACAUUCACAUCGACUAUCAUAUUUGUAAUUUCAUUUACCUCAUCAAAUAUCUAAUAAAACACACCUUCCGCCGUUUAUCAUUUGGCCACAAUAUAUAUAUACACAUCUCAUACAUAUCUCACAUUAGCCAUUUGGCUUUACCAAAUAUCCAUCUCAUACACGUUUCGCAUUAGCCAUUCGGCUUUACCUCAUAUCCAUCUCAUACACAUUUCGCAUUAGCCAUUCGGCUUUACCACAUAUAUACACUUCCACGUUCAUCACAUUGGCCAUUCUGCCUUAUCACAUAUAUGCAUGUUCACAUUCAUCACAUUGGCCAUUCGGCCUUAUCUCAUAUAUGCAUGUUCACAUUCAUCACAUUUGUCAUUCGGCCUUAUCUCAUAUAUACACAUUCACAUUCAUCACAUAAAAUCCUAAAUCAAAAUAUAAAUUUUCAUGUAUUCACAUCACAAUUAUCCAAAUAUACUUCACAUACCACAUAUACUUUCAUGUAUACACUUUGUCUUGGCUGAAUCUACAUCUAUCAUUUUCUGAUGAAUAAUUCAAUUUCAAGCCAUACUAUCAUUUCAUAUUCGAAUACUUAUAAACUUACAAUCUCACAAAUUUUAAUAUCAAAGAUCCAUCUAACGCUCAUAUAUCAUUUUAUAAUAUCACAAUUUAGAAUUCACGUAUGGGUUUAAUCAAUAGCUUAUGAGCAACUAAAACAAGUUUUAUCCAUGUUUACAACAUAACCACAAAUUCUCUACAAGCUGUUUUCCUGAGCAACAAUCCUUAAAUUAUUUGUAACUGGGGCUACGAAAUUCCAAAUUAUGUGCCGUUAAUUUUCCAUGAAAAUAGACUCGUAUAUCCUCUAUCCACAAAAUUUUCAGAAUUUUUGGUUUGGCCAAUCAAUACCAGAUUUUUCUUAAAUUUUCCCCUAUUUUACUGCUUGACUACUCUGACUACUCUUCACUAAGAAUUUAAUUUCUCAUUGUAUAGAAUUCAAAAUAUGUUUUCGUUUCUUUUGUUUGAAACUAGACUCAUUAAGGAGUCUAAGCAUAUAAUUUUAUCUUAUAAUCAUUUUUGUACGAUUUAUAAUGAUUUUCCAAAUACUGAACAGGGGAUUUCGGAGCCAUUCUGACUCUGUCUCACACAACUUUGAAAAUCUCAUUGUCGGCAACCCCUUUACUUACACGAUUUCUUUUAUACGAAACUAGACGUGUCAAGCUUUAAUUACAUAAUUUAUUCAGCCUUUAACUCAACUCCCACAUAAGCUAGUAUUUUAGUAAUUAAUAUGAUACAAGUUAAACCAAAAGUUUACAAUAAAAUUACAAGGUACAUACAUAGGGCCCAUAUACAUGUUUAUUUUAAAACACCACCCUUUAAACCCUCUAGCUCUACUUACAAAAGACUCUCAUAACUAAAAUCCAUAAGUAAGUCAUCCAAUUCCACCAUUUCAAUAAGUAUUUUAUACCAAAUCUAAUAACUAAAUGUUAUUAAUGAGAUUCAUACCAAGACCGAAUAUUCAUUAACAACCAAAGCAUAUAUUCAACAAUUUAACAAUGUGUUUAACCUCCAUGGCCGAAUAGAUCCUUUCUAUUCCAUUUAACUACCAUAAAUUUAAAGUAUUUAAAUCAAGUUCAUGAGUUUCUAAUUUCAUUACUUCAACCAUUCAAAGCCUAUCUAAUUUCUCAAAUAGAUUUCUAAUACAAGAAUUAAGCCAACCUACUAACCUUAACACCCACUACUUAUGUACAAAAAUUUAUCCACCCUAGCCUAUAGUUCAUUCGGCCAUUCUUCACCCAACCAAACAAAAUUUCAUAGCAAACUCCUAUGACCGAGCACACACAUAUACUUACAUCCCAAUACUCAUAAUAUUCAAAAUUCACAUUUUAAUAAAUUAUCUUAAAUAAUGCCGAAUCCUUAAGUGAUUAAACAUCAAAUUUUACUCAAUUCAAAACAUAUAAACAACAUUUAUUCAUGACAUCAAGCAUCUUUAUUUCGGCUAUUACUAGUAUAAGCAUUAACCAUUCAUGUUUUUAGAAAGACCAAUUUCUUUCCUCAACACAUUCAUCAUCAAAAUUCAAAUAAAACAAUCAAAAUUCCUUCCUUUAUAACCAUAACCGAAUGCUCCAUUCACCCAUCAUUAUUGAAAAUUUUAGCAUGGGCUAAGCAAGAACCAUGAUAAUUUACCUAAAAAAAGUAAACAUUUCACAAAUUUAACACAAUAUACUAACCUCCCUAAAGAUUCAAGUGACCGAAAUUCCUCCCCUCCUUUCUUUCUUCUAUUCGGCCAAGUUGAACAAAGAGAGAACUUUGUUUUCAUCACCAAAUUUCCUUAUUUUUAUUUAAAGUAUAAAACCAUUUAACUAAAAUUAAUACAUAUUUUAAUAUGAGUCCAUCAUCUUGGCCGGCCACUACUAGCAAAAGGGGUUAUUUGACAUGCAAGUAUUCUUAUAACAUGCAUUAAUAAGUUACUUCAACAUUUGCCUAACACAUUUCUAAAUUUUCUCACAUAAGUCCUAUUUAAUAAUUUCGCAUACAAAUGAUAAAAUUAAAGUAUGAAACUUCCACACAUUCAUAUUCACAUAUAAUAAGCAUCGAAUAUGACUGUUAAUUAUUUUUAUGACUCGGUUUCGUGGUCCCGAAACCACUUUCCGACUAGGGUCAAAUUAGGGGUGUCACAACUCUCCCCCCCUUUAGGGAUUUUCGUCCCCGAAAAUUUCUACUGAUGCAUAGUUUAGGAUAACGUCCUCUUAUUGAAUUAUAUCCAUAUAAACAUUAGCUCAUCGAUAGCAAUUGUAAUUCAUUACUGAUUUCGCAUCGAUCUAUAAAAUCAUUUUCUUAUCUUAAAACAAAUACAUAAACAUUUCUACAAGUAUGCACAUAUAUCUCAUUUUCUUGAUUUCAUAAGCAAUAAUCACUUAAUUUAAUUCACAAAUGCAUUUGAAACACAUAUUAAGCACAUAUUAACAUGUAUAAUUCACAUCAUCAACCCACAUAUUUGUAACCCACAUUUUCAUUCAUGUAUAAACUGUAACCUGACCGAAAGUACACAUAUACUCAAACAUCCCAAUAAAUAUCCUUUAUAACUCCAUCAUAUCUCACUAUUCAACUUAACCUAUUUCCAACAGAAAAUCAACUUCCACAUACCUGAACAUUGAAUUCAUUUAACACAUUCAAUCACCGUUAACGAUACCCGUAUACAAUCGAUUUGGCAUAAAGCCUCAUAUAGUAUACUGGCAUGGGAUUUAUUUUAGCACAUAACCCAUAUAUCCAAAAUUAUCAGCAUUCAUCAAAAAUUCUUACAGACUUUCAAAUGUCAAACUUAAUCGAAAUAAUUUCUUGAACAUGAUUAACAAAAAUAAGGGUCAUUUAGCAAUAGCACAUAUGACUUCAUAUACCAAGCAUCCCCUAAACUAAAUCCAUAACACAUUUAUAACAUGAAUUCAUUUCUUAACAAUAUAUCCACCAUCUUAAAUCAAUGCCUUCGUUCCAUACGAGGUCCUAUAUGAAUCUUGUUUUACUCGCUUAAUGUCUACUGACCGAUCUCGCACGCAUAGUGCCCAGUUGAAGAACUUGCACUCUCAGUGCCUCUAAUCAUUUGCACACAUAGUGCCCCUAUUCAUUUGUUGUUACACAUUGAAAUGACUUAACCAAGUCUAUAAACAUCAUGUAUGUACACUUUUAAACAUAUCCUUUCAUUUAACUUUGAAUUCGUAUAGUAAUGAACACUUAAACUUUGUUCAAAUUACCAGCACGAAGCCUACUAGGCACGAAGGCCCGAAUACACAUCACCAGCAUGAAUGCUCUUCGGGACUUAGCCCGGAUGUAACACCAGUACGAAUGCUCUUCGGGACUUAACCCUGAUAUAACUCCAGCACGAAUGCUCUUCGAGACUUAGCCCGGAUAUAACACCAGCACGUAUGCUCUUCGGGACUUAGCCCGGAUAUAACACCAGCACGUAUGCUCUUCGGGACUUAGCCCGGAUAUAACACCAGCACGUAUGCUCUUCGGGUGCUCUUCGGGACUUAGCCCGGAUAUAACACCAGCGCGUAUGCUCUUCGGGACUUAGCCCGGAUCAUAUAUAACUCUCAAUUCUCAUGUACAUAUACAUAUAUAACAAUACACAUUAGUAUAUCAUUUACAUUACUUGAAUACAAACACAACAUGCUUAUCGACCAUUCAACUUUCAGUUCCAUAGCCACAUACAGAGAUCACAUUUAUAGUCAUAACACUCUUUCAAAAUUGCAUCACUUAUACCAUUAUAAUUCAAUCCAAAUCAAAAUUCAAAUACGAGUACAUGAUACGUACCUGAUCAACUUAAUAAUUUAAGCAUAUCCAAGUGAAGUUAUAUCGCAAAUUCUCAUAGUCAGAAGCUUGCUACAGCUCGAUCGGGAUCAAGAUUCAUUACAAUACAACAAACAUAUUUUAAUAGUCAAAAAUCAUCACACUAUCAUUUUAUCACUUUAUGGCAUGUAUAAAUAGACUCACGCGUGCUACGUUAGUCCUAGAAUCGACUAAAUCGUGGCUCUGAUACCAAAUAAAAUGUAACACCCCUAUCCCGUAUCCGUCGCCAGAAUAGGUGAAGGGGCAUUACCAGACUUGAAACUCAUAUCAGAACAGUAAUUUUUUUUUUUGAAAACAUUCCUUUAGAUAAAUACUAAAGACAGUCAGGGAUACAAAUUUAAACUUCUAUAAGUACACAUUCAAAAGAUGCCAUUUUCGCAGGGCUUAUAUACAUUAACCAAAAUAUUCUUCGGCCACUGGUCUAUUCUAUACAUACCAUAAAAUAAUUCAAAACAUAACAGUAACAAGCAGUGGAUAGUGAUAGUGUGACUAGUUGCUGACGAUCCCUGAGUCUAUGGCUUCCAAAUGAGGUCUAUAAAACAGAAGAAACAAAGUAAAUGGAGUAAGCAUUACAAUGCUUAGUAAGUUCUAAGCAGUGUCAACAGAUAACAAUCAAAUUAUAACAUAGUUGUUCGUAUUUUUAUUUCACUCUUCCUUCGGGCAUACCAUCCCUUUACCGAAUAUGCACAUCUCAUCAUAUACAAUAGGCAGAUAAACUUUCACAUAAAAGUGAGCUCAUGUGACAUAGAUAUAUUGUAUAAUUUCACAUAACCUCUCACACUGAUCCAAUGUCACAUAAUCAUAGGAAUAGUCUUAUAGAUUGCUCACGUAUGCAUCACAUAACUACCUUAUGAUUUAGUUCAAAUCAAGCUCACAUAUAAACUUGGAGUACAUACCUGUUUAACCUUUCGUAUUGAAUAUAUUUAUAAGUAAUUCUUAGUGCGAAGUCUUAUAGCUUUAAACUCUACUCGGAUUAUCAGCGAGACCUUUAGCUCAGAUGAAAUCUCCACACGAGUCAGCGGGUCUUAACCCAGACAUAGUCACCACAUAUGGUCAUCUGGUCUUUAAUCCCGGGUUUACAUCAUAGAGUUUCAUGCAUAUUUAUUCACAUGUUAAAAACAUUCACAUCGACUAUCAUAUUUGUAAUUUCAUUUACCUCAUCAAAUAUCUAAUAAAACACACCUUCCGCCGUUUGUCAUUUGGCCACAAUAUAUAUAUACACAUCUCAUACAUAUCUCACAUUAGCCAUUUGGCUUUACCACAUAUCCAUCUCAUACACGUUUCGCAUUAGCCAUUCGGCUUUACCUCAUAUCCAUCUCAUACACAUUUCGCAUUAGCCAUUCGGCUUUACCACAUAUAUACACUUCCACGUUCAUCACAUUGGCCAUUCUGCCUUAUCACAUAUAUGCAUGUUCACAUUCAUCACAUUGGCCAUUCGGCCUUAUCACACAUAUGCAUGUUCACAUUCAUCACAUUGGCCAUUCGGCCUUAUCUCAUAUAUGCAUGUUCACAUUCAUCACAUUUGCCAUUCGGCCUUAUCUCAUAUAUACACAUUCACAUUCAUCACAUAAAAUCCUAAAUCAAAAUAUAAAUUUUCAUGUAUUCACAUCACAAUUAUCCAAAUAUACUUCACAUACCACAUAUACUUUCAUGUAUACACUUUGUCUUGGCUGAAUCUACAUCUAUCAUUUUCCGAUGAAUAAUUCAAUUUCAAGCCAUACUAUCAUUUCAUAUUCGAAUACUUAUAAACUUACAAUUUCACAAAUUUUAAUAUCAAAGAUCCAUUUAACGCUCAUAUAUCAUUUUAUAAUAUCACAAUUUAGAAUUCACAUAUGGGUUUAAUCAAUAGCUUAUGAGCAACUAAAACAAGUUUUAUCCAUGUUUACAACAUAACCACAAAUUCUCUACAAGCUGUUUUCCUGAGCAACGGUCGUUAAAUUAUUUGUAACUGGGGCUACGAAAUUCCAAAUUAUGUGCCGUUAAUUUUCCAUGAAAAUAGACUCGUAUAUCCUCUAUCCACAAAAUUUUCAGAAUUUUUGGUUUGGCCAAUCAAUACCAGAUUUUUCUUAAAUUUUCCCCUAUUUUAUUGCUUGACUACUCUGACUACUCUUCACUAAGAAUUUAAUUUCUCAUUGUACAGAAUUCAAAAUAUGUUUUCGUUUAUUUUGUUUGAAACUAGACUCAUUAAGGAGUCUAAGAAUAUAAUUUUAUCUUAUAAUCAUUUUUGUACGAUUUAUAAUGAUUUUCCAAAUACUGAACAGGGGAUUUCGGAGCCAUUCUGACUCUGUCUCACACAACUUUGAAAAUCUCAUUGUCGGCAACCCCUUUACUUACACGAUUUCUUUUAUACGAAACUAGACGUGUCAAGCUUUAAUUACAUAAUUUAUUCAGCCUUUAACUCAACUCCCACAUAAGCUAGUAUUUUAGUAAUUAAUAUGAUACAAGUUAAACCAAAAGUUUACAAUAAAAUUACAAGGUACAUACAUAGGGCCCAUAUACAUGUUUAUUUUAAAACACCACCCUUUAAACCCUCUAGCUCUACUUACAAAAGACUCUCAUAACUAAAAUCCAUAAGUAAGUCAUCCAAUUCCACCAUUUCAAUAAGUAUUUUAUACCAAAUCUAAUAACUAAAUGUUAUUAAUGAGAUUCAUACCAAGACCGAAUAUUCAUUAACAACCAAAGCAUAUAUUCAACAAUUUAACAAUGUGUUUAACCUCCAUGGCCGAAUAGAUCCUUUCUAUUCCAUUUAACUACCAUAAAUUUAAAGUAUUUAAAUCAAGUUCAUGAGUUUCUAAUUUCAUUACUUCAACCAUUCAAAGCCUAUCUAAUUUCUCAAAUAGAUUUCUAAUACAAGAAUUAAGCCAACCUACUAACCUUAACACCCACUACUUAUGUACAAAAAUUUAUCCACCCUAGCCUAUAGUUCAUUCGGCCAUUCUUCACCCAACCAAACAAAAUUUCAUAGCAAACUCCUAUGACCGAGCACACACAUAUACUUACAUCCCAAUACUCAUAAUAUUCAAAAUUCACAUUUUAAUAAAUUAUCUUAAACAAUGCCGAAUCCCUAAGUGAUUAAACAUCAAAUUUUACUCAAUUCAAAACAUAUAAACAACAUUUAUUCAUGACAUCAAGCAUCUUUAUUUCGGCUAUUACUAGUAUAAGCAUUAACCAUUCAUGUUUUUAGAAAGACCAAUUUCUUUCCUCAACACAUUCAUCAUCAAAAUUCAAAGAAAACAAUCAAAAUUCAUUCCUUUAUAACCAUAACCGAAUGCUCCAUUCACCCAUCAUUAUUGAAAAUUUUAGCAUGGGCUAAGCAAGAACCAUGAUAAUUUACCUAAAACAAGUAAACAUUUCACAAAUUUAACACAAUAUACUAACCUCCCUAAAGAUUCAAGUGACCGAAAUUCCUCCCCUCCUUUCUUUCUUCUAUUCGGCCAAGUUGAACAAAGAGAGAACUUUGUUUUCAUCACCAAAUUUCCUUAUUUUUAUUUAAAGUAUAAAACCAUUUAACUAAAAUUAAUACAUAUUUUAAUAUGAGUCCAUCAUCUUGGCCGGCCACUACUAGCAAAAGGGGUUAUUUGACAUGCAAGUCCAAGCAUUCUUAUAACAUGCAUUAAUAAGUUACUUCAACAUUUGCCUAACAAAUUUCUAAAAUUUCUCACAUAAGUCCUAUUUAAUAAUUUCGCAUACAAAUGAUAAAAUUAAAGUAUGAAACUUUCACACAUUCAUAUUCACAUAUAAUAAGCAUCGAAUAUGACUGUUAAUUAUUUUUAUGACUCGGUUUCGUGGUCCCGAAACCACUUUCCGACUAGAAUCAAAUUAGGGGUGUCACAAAUUACAUAUUUUAUCAAUUUGAUCGUAAUUAUAAAUAAAUUAAUCCUCAAUAUUUAUAAAUCAUUUGAUUUUAAUUCUAAUAAAAUUAUAUUUUUUCUAAAAUUAAAAAGUUAAAAAAUAAAUAAAAAUCUAAAAAUAUAUAAUAAAAAACUUGCAAAAAAGAACUUGCAAAAUUUGCAAAAUCGAAUAGAGGGAAAACCCGAGGCAAAAAGGGUAGGGGUGGUGCGUUGGCUGAGGCAGAGACGAAGACAAAUGAGACAGAGAUAGAGAUGUGGUUGGUGUGGGUGAAGACCAUAUAUUGCAACAGUGACCUUUGGAGCGGCAGAAGAUGGCGAAAGUUUCAAGUUUCUUUUGUAGAUCUAGGAUUUGUUGAAUUUUUUUUUUAACAAAAACUAAUUGGGAAAUAUGGAAAAGGAGAUGGAGAUAAAGAUUUUGGUCAAAUUUUGAUAGCGUUCUAGGCUGAUGGUCUAUGGCGUACGGUGGACAGUGACGGCAGAGGUCAACUGAAAUCUGGGUUUGGCGGUGGUUUUGGGGGAAAAUGUUUAAUAUUAAAGAAGGAGUGAGG
RNAcentral lists this long non-coding RNA (9559 nucleotides) under Gossypium barbadense (sea-island cotton). RNAcentral's name for it is "long non-coding RNA (GBAR_LNC011258)". Lineage: Eukaryota; Viridiplantae; Streptophyta; Magnoliopsida; Malvales; Malvaceae. The record is from RNAcentral.